RNAcentral lists this unclassified non-coding RNA (352 nucleotides) under soil metagenome. RNAcentral's name for it is "partial contains 5.8S ribosomal RNA, internal transcribed spacer 2, and large subunit ribosomal RNA". The stretch from base 1 to 120 matches the Rfam family "5.8S ribosomal RNA", at positions 35 to 154 of the family's 154-position model. The record is from RNAcentral.
GAUGAAGAACGCAGCGAAAUGCGAUAAGUAAUGUGAAUUGCAGAAUUCAGUGAAUCAUCGAAUCUUUGAACGCACAUUGCGCCCGCCAGUAUUCUGGCGGGCAUGCCUGUUCGAGCGUCAUUUCAACCCUCAAGCACCUUCGGGAGCUUGGUGUUGGGGAUCGGCAGGGCGUCCUCCGGGUCGCGCCGUCCCCCAAAUCUAGUGGCGGUCUCGCUGUAGCUUCCUCUGCGUAGUAAUACACCUCGCUCUGGAGUCUCGGUGCGGCCACGCCGUAAAACCCCCAACUUUUUUCUGGUUGACCUCGAAUCAGGUAGGACUACCCGCUGAACUUAAGCAUAUCAAUAAGCGGAGA